CCUACGGGUGGCAGCAGUGAGGAAUAUUGGUCAAUGGCCGAGAGGCUGAACCAGCCAAGUAGCGUGCAGGAUGACGGCCCUACGGGUUGUAAACCUCUUUUGUACGGGAAUAACGCGCGUUACGUGUAACUCUUUGCGUGUACCCGAUGACAAAGGAUCGGCUAAUUCCGUGCCAGCAGCCGCGGUAAUACGGAAGGUCCGGGCGUUAUCCGGAUUUAUUGGGUUUAAAGGGUGCGUAGGCCGCAUGUCAAGCGUACUGUGAAAUGUCCGGGCUCAAACCCCGCAUUGCAGGGCGAACUGGAGUGCUUGAGUCCGCGGAAAGUAGGCGGAAUGCGUGGUGUAGCGGUGAAAUGCUUAGAUAUGACGCAGAACCCCGAUUGCGAAGGCAGCUUGCUGGCGCGGAACUGACGCUGAUGCACGAAAGCGCGGGUAUCGAACAGGAUUAGAUACCCUAGUAGUC
RNAcentral lists this ribosomal RNA (460 nucleotides) under uncultured bacterium. Its description in RNAcentral is "partial 16S ribosomal RNA". It matches the Rfam family "Bacterial small subunit ribosomal RNA", at positions 338 to 795 of the family's 1533-position model. The record is from RNAcentral.